This is a non-coding RNA of Manis javanica (Malayan pangolin), 1307 nucleotides long. The record is from the annotation of a RefSeq genome assembly. Lineage: Eukaryota; Metazoa; Chordata; Mammalia; Pholidota; Manidae.
UUAGGAGUGGCUGCUGCUAAAUCUAUUUCAUGGAACUAAUAUGUUACAGAAACAAAAUUAGCUCCGGAUUCAAGAUAUGAUGCCUACCGAUAUUUAAAGGGACUUGGCAUCAAGGUGUCUCCUUACAGCAGAAGGGUAAAGAAUCAUGAAGACACAAGUACGAGUCUUGCUGGGAUUCCUGUGGAUACAGAUUUGCUGGGUAGGAGUACAGAUGAAGGUAGCACAGAGUCCUGAGGUACUGAACCUCCAGCAGGGGGGGAAUUCCUCUCUGAAGUGUAAUUUUUCCAUCUCCAUAACCAGCAUGCAGUGGUUCCAACAAAAUCCCGGAGGACGUCUCAUAUCCCUGUUUUACAUGGCUUCUGGAAUGCGACAGAAAGGAAGACUAAAGUCCACAGUUAAUAUCAAGGAACGUUACAGCCACCUGUAUAUCACAGACUCCCAGCCUGAGGACUCAGCCACUUACAUCUGUGCCGCGGGGGCACAGUGCUCUCCAGACACCUGCAGUCUGUACAUGAAACCAUAGGCGAAGUCCCAGCCCAAACCCCAGGGUGGCAGCAGAGGUCCGGGGUGAUUGGGAUUGCCUUCCCAAAGCCUUGCAUCUCCUGAUUCAUGCAGGAAGCUUUUCUAAACGAGCUACGACUUGACACUACAGUGCAGGACAUACCUGGUCCAUCCGGAGAUCUCUGGGGAGACUGUUACUAGGUAAAAUCUAUAGAGUAAUCAACUCAUAUCUGAUUCUGUCUUUCUAGACAAGAGUGAGCAGCCAACUCAACCAGAACAAGACAGAACCAAUCUCACCUUGACUUUCUUUUCUACAUCUUUAUCGCUUACAUUGGUAUUGACAGAGCCCUGGGAAAAGCUCAUGAUCCUUUUUCUAAUGUACUUUUAUGGAGAAGAAAAGGAGGAGCGAAAAUAAAGGGCCACUAUUAGCAUGAAAGAUGGGUCGAGCUCCCUGCAUACCACACCAGAGACUCAGCCACCUACCUGCAUGCUGUGGAGGCACAGUGCUUCCCAGGCACCUGAAGCCUGAACGCACAUAUGUGGCUGCAGUCCCCAAACCCAACACAAGGGAACGAUGCCUGUAUGUUUUCACUCACUUCUAACAUGGUGUUGAGAAGUGCACACUUGAUAAAUCAAAGUGAUUUCACUUUCAAAACAAUUUGGAACACUGAUGAAUAUUCAAUCUAGUAACUAUCUCUGUCCUAAAUAAAACCGUUUCUAACAUCCUAAUCCCAAAGUCAGAGAACUCAUGAAUCAGCAAUUCCAGUUAGAGGAUCCGUCAGAGUCAUAACUGUGGAGCUCUGUGU